ACGUAGGGUGCGAGCGUUAAUCGGAAUUACUGGGCGUAAAGCGUGCGCAGGCGGUCUUGCAAGACAGGUGUGAAAUCCCCGGGCUUAACCUGUGAACUGCACUUGUGACUGCAAGGCUGGAGUACGGCAGAGGGGGAUGGAAUUCCGCGUGUAGCAGUGAAAUGCGUAGAUAUGCGGAGGAACACCGAUGGCGAAGGCAAUCCCCUGGGCCUGUACUGACGCUCAUGCACGAAAGCGUGGGGAGCAAACAGGAUUAGAUACCCUGGUAGUCCACGCCCUAAACGAUGUCUACUGGUUGUUGGGGGUUUGACACUCUCAGUAACGAAGCUAACGCGUGAAGUCGACCGCCUGGGGAGUACGGCCGCAAGGUUA
This 372-nucleotide ribosomal RNA is filed under the name uncultured bacterium. Its description in RNAcentral is "bacterial SSU rRNA". It matches the Rfam family "Bacterial small subunit ribosomal RNA", at positions 525 to 896 of the family's 1533-position model. The record is from RNAcentral.